UCUCUGGUAGUAUAUCGGUUAGUACACGCGCCUGUCAUGCGCAUAAAGUUACAGGUGACGUCCGCGCGAAAGCUGGGUUCGACUCCCAGCCAGAGAG
Non-coding RNA from Armillaria fumosa, 97 nucleotides. Lineage: Eukaryota; Fungi; Basidiomycota; Agaricomycetes; Agaricales; Physalacriaceae. The record is from the annotation of a GenBank genome assembly.